UCCCUCCAACAUCAACAGAAGCUGCCAGCGAACCAAACCUCUAGCCGCUCCCGACUUUCGUCUUUGCAUCUUUCACCGACUCCACGGUUUCAGAUCUCCGGACGCUUUGAAGUGGCAAGUGAGUAAUCUCCGCCUGUGAGUAAUCUCUAUUUCUUUCCUCUCUGCAUGCAUUUUUAAUGGGUGUUAUUGCAAUUUUUUUUAUAAAUACGAUUAGUUUUUGGUGCGAUUGUUUCAGUUCUUGGUAAAUCGGCAUUUCGUUUCCUGCUGGUUAUGAUUUUUUUUCAUUAUUUGUUUGGUUGUUGAUCAUGAUAUAUGUAUAUAUAUAUGGUUUCGUUUCAUCGCACUCUUCCUUUUCUUCAUCGAUUAUUGCAGGUUCUUCUUCAUCGAUUAUUGCACUGUUCACUUAAUCGAUUUCCCUUUUCUCAAUACAGGUUCUUUGUUCCAACACUUCUUCAUCGCACUCUUCCCCGAUUUGCUCAUUACAGGUUAGUUUUCCAUAGGUAUUUUCAAUGUUUGUAUUACAUGUUUGAUUGAAAGGUUAGUUUUCCCCGAUUGCAUGUUUGUAUUGCUGUUUCUUUUCCUUUGUUAUGUAAUCCAAAGAGUUUUAAGGCAUAAGGGCAAGUAUGUAUUGAUGUUUAACUUCUGGUUUAACUUCUAAAAUAAAUUUGAUAGAAUUGUGUCUUGUGCACAAUGUCUUCUAAAAUCAGAGUCUGUAUUGAUGUUUAUACAUUGUGCUAAAAUAUUCGUAUGUUAUAUGAAGUUGUUUAAGCUAGGUUUAUUAUUUCAUAGGUACAGAACCAUUCAUUUUGCUUGCAAUAAGUUAAUAAGCUUCUACUUUAUGUAAUUUUCAUAUUCAAUGAGCUUUUGCUAGUAGCAUACUCAUGAAUGCAUGCAAGCUACAGCUCUAACUUUUUAAUAGUGAGAAUUUAUAAAUCUUAUUUAGCAAACUGAAUUAUUUAACUUAAAUGUUUACUCUUCUAGUAGGACAAGUAAUCAUAUAAAAUUCAUACAAAACAUAACAAUUUAACUGAUAAGAAGAAAUGCUGUAAAACUCUCAGCUUCUAAAAUCAGAGUCUGUAUUGAUGUUUAUACCUUGUGCGCUUCGUAAACGUCUGGUUUAACUUCUAAAAUUGUGUCUUGUGCACAAUGUCUUCUAAAAUCAGAGUCUGUAUUGAUGUUUAUAGAUUGUGCGUUUCGGAUUCCAUAAAUAUUGAAUGCCAGACUUACUGUAGACUUGAGGCAGUGAGCAAUGGAAAUUGUCUGCUGUUUUCAAUUCAGACAGUUUUUUGAUAGUCUGCUGUUUUUUGAUAGUCUGCUGUUUUUUGAAAGAGUUUACAAUGGAAAUUGUUGAUAGUGCUAUUUUUUCAAUUCAGAGAUUAGCUUCUCGUUGUUAGUGAGUAGAAGAUGAAACUGGAAAUUGUUGCAUUUGUUUUGAUAUUGUUCUUGAUUUGUUCUGGUUCCUGUUUGUUUUGGGGAUUAUUAAUUGCAAGUAUAGUAGGAUAUAGUUCUGUUAUGAUUUAGAUUUUGAAAUCAAAUGCUGUAAACGAGUUACUUGAGCUAUUAUUUAUAUUCGAUUAAGGGUUAAUUAUGUUGUUUUCUAUUAAAGACUCAAAUAAUUAUUGAAUUAUUUUACAAGGAUUUUUUUAGUUAAUAAGCUCUCUGUUUUUAAAUUAUGUAAAAACAAUCAAAUUUCAAUUUCGAUGCUUAUAUAAUGUUUAAAUUUAAGAUUAAAUCUUUAUAUUUUAAUUUUUAAUAUAAUUUGGUACAUCAAUAUUAGCCUAGAUACUUUAACCGAUUAAAAUGCUAACGUUAAUUUUUAAACUUGAUAAUAAUAUUAAUUUUUUUUGUUUAAUUCAAAUUCAUUAUAAUAUUAUUUUUAUAUAAUUAUGAAGUGAAUUUUUUUAAUUUCAAAAUAUCACAUUAACGAAUUUUAACUAUAACACAUGUCAAGAGCAGCAUUCAGAAGAAGUUGAAAGUGAAAUUAAGUCAAUUUAAAUAUCAAACCUACUUUUUUUCCCCAUAAAUUCAACUUUAGCACAAAAUAUCGAAAAAAGUGUAAUUAUUGUUUCUUUCACAAUCAUAAUUGCAAAUACAAUACUACAUUUUAAUAAUUAUUUGUAGAUGUAAAUGAUAUUAAAUUUACAAAAAACAGUUAUAUAUAUUUAUACAAAAUGAAAAUUAAAUUUAAAAUGUUAUAAAAGUUUUAAAACUUCAAUUUCAUUAUUAAACCAAAUCCUCAUUCUUUAUUUUAUUUGUUUUAAAAUUAGAAAACCUUAAUUAAACUAAUCAUCAAUAAAUAAACUAAUCAAUGUUCAAACUUUGAACAUGCUUUAUAAUUUUAAAUUAUAAUGAAUUUAGUUAUAAUCUAACAAAUACCAACAAUUAAUUUUAGGUCAAUUAUACAUAUACCUUUAAAUUUUAAUAUAUUUAAAAUGUAUUUAAAAAUAUUUUCUUUCUUUAUUGUUUGGGUGAUUGAUAAAGAAAUGAAAUUAAAGUUGCAACGAUAUCAUUUAAGUUCUACUUUUUUGUUUCAUAAAGAUUCUAAAUUUGUAUUGUUUAUUUUUAUUUGAUAAUGUGUAAUUGCAACUUCAAUUCUUUGAUAGUGUGUUCUAAUUUUAAUAUGUUGCAGUAAUGGCUCGUCUGCCUUUAAUUGAACAAAGUGUGAGGCGUAAAAGAAUUGGUAUUGCAUUGACAAUAUGGUUAGAAAUCUGUAGAAUUGCGAUUUGGUUCUUAUUUACAAUGGGUGCCAGCCUUAGCCUAUAUACUUAUAGACUAAGGAUUAGGUCCUAUACCUUAGAUUUUUAUGCAAAACGGGAUUAUGUGAAAAAGCUUGUAUAUGCUAGUGGCAAGACCUGUAUUGAACAAGUUAGGAUGAAUAGAACUGCCUUUUUUAAAUUAUGUGAGAUGUUAGAAUCAUUAGGGGGAUUGAAGUCGUCAAGAAACAUGCUUGUUGAUGAGCAAGUGGCAAUGUUUUUACAUAUCAUCUCCCAUCACUUAAAAAAUCGAGUUAUCAAGCAUCAUUUUAGAAGGUCCGGGGAAACUGUUAGCAGAGCAUUUCAUAGUGUUUUAAAUGCUGUUGUACGCUUACAAGAUGAGUUAUUUAAAAAGGCGGAGCCAAUUACAGCUGAUUCUUCUGACACAAGGUGGAAAUGGUUUAAGGUAUUGGACUGAGUUUUAUAUAUAGCUUGUACAACAUUUAGUUGAUUUAGAUUUAAAUUAGUAUUCUAACUCAAGGUUUUAUAUCAUGUGAUAUAGAAUUGCUUAGGUGUUCUUGAUGGAACCCACAUCAAGAUUAGGGUUCCAACAGUUGAUAAACCUAGAUAUCGAACGCUAAAAGGUGACAUAGCAACAAAUACGCUAGAUGUUUGUACACCUGAUAUGCAAUUUGUGUAACACCCCUUACCCGUAUCCAACACCGGAAUAGGGUACGAGGCAUUACCAAAACACAUACACUUGUAAACGUAUUUAACCGAGUUAUAAAAUUUCAACUAAAUUAAAACUUUCAAAAUAAUUAGAAUGCUUCUAUAACUUUUCACAAUAUAUCCUCAAAAUAUUAUAAUCAUAAUAAUUAGGGCCUACGAGACCCGGUACAUACUCAUACAAUUCAAUGCUUCAUUUCCAUUUCAUUUAAUUCGCAAUUUCUCAUGCUCACAAUUUAGAUCAUAUCACUAGCAAUUUCCAUUUAAUUCACGUACAAUUCAAUGUCACUAAGUGUAACACUAAUACGUAUUUACCAUUUAACUCAACGUUUAUCAAUCAUAUCAUUCAAUAACACAUUUAUGAAAUUCUUAAUUUUGCAAUGAAAAUAUCACUUUAGCUUAAAUAACAACAUCAUCCUGGUAUAAAUACACUACCACUUAUUCAUUUACUUUAAUUCAUUUGGGCCCAUUUGUCACUUACCAUCCUUAAUCAAAUUAGAGAACGGUUACGAAAAAUUGAGUAUUUCACUUUCACUUUGCCAUAGUAUAACUAUGGUCUUACGUAUGAUCACUUAUCACUUGUCCCUGAUCAGAUAAGUGUAGCCACUUAUCACUUUGUUUCUUGAUCAGAUAAGUGUAGCCACUUAUCACUUUGUCUCUUGAUCAGAUAAGUGUAGCUAAAGCUAUCACUUAUCACUUUUCACUUGUCACUUGUCACUUGAUCAGAUAAGUGUAGCCGAAACUAUCACUUAUCACUUUGUCUCUUGAUCAGAUAAGUAUAGCCGAAGCUAUCACUUAUCACUUUCCACUUGUCACUUGAUCAGAUAAGUGUAGCCGAAGCUAUCACUUAUCACUUUCCACUUGUCACUUGAUCAGAUAAGUGUAGCCGAAGCUAUCACCUAUCACUUUGUCACUUGAUCAGAAGUACUCAAAUCCGGCGUUCCGCUCAAUUUGAUCAUUUAUUCAAUUUUCGCAUUUUUAUUUUAUUCUCAUUUCAUCAAUAAAUAUAUCUCAUCAUACAUUACAUAACUCAUGAAAUUAACAUUUAAUCAUUAAAUUUCAUCUUACCACACUUGUUUCCUAUGCACAUCACACAAGAUAUAAACAUAUCAUUCAACCAUAGUCACAAGCUAGUAUAUUUAAACAUAACUCUUUUUGGAACUAAUCACAUGAUAAACCAUUCAUGAAAUUAUUUCAUGCCAAAUCAUAUACCGAAUAUACGAGACACACAUACUAUGAAACUUUAUUUUCACACAUGAGCUUAAACCAAAACCAAUAAUGCACAAAUAUAAGCAUUAUUUCUAUUUCAUCGUUUAUCAAUUAUAAUCAAGCAUAUGACCAAUUAUACACAAAUCAUUCAUAUACUUCCCAAUUUUUCUCCUCCUCCUCUCCAUUCCACAUCCUUAAUGUGUAUAACACACUUAAACAACAUUAGCUAUAAUUUCACUAUUCACUCACAUGUAUAUUCAAAGCUGUUUAUCCGAGUCAGAGUCACUAAAUUAUUUUUAUCCGGAGCUACAGAGCUCCAAAUUAAGAUCUGUUAAUUUUCCCUGAAACUAGACUCACAUACCUUCUUACCAUAAAAUUUUCAGAAUUUUUGGUUCGGCCAAAUAGUACAGUUUAUUCUUUAAAGUUUCCCCUGUUUUGCUGUCUGACAGUUCCAACCACUCUUCACUAAAAAUUAAUUAUCUCAUUGUACAGAAUUUGGAUGAUAUUUAUAUUGGUUUCUUCUGAAAAUAGACUCAUUAAGGAUUCUAAUCAUAUAAAUUAUAACUCAUAAUAAUUUUUGUACAAUUUUUAAUGAUUUUCCAAAUUCAGAACAAGGGAACCCGAAUUCAUUCUGACCUUGUCUCACAAAAUCUAUUAUAUCUCAUGAUUUACAAUUUCAUUACUUACACCGUUUCUUCUAUAAGAAACUAGACUCAAUAAGCUUUAAUUUCAUAUUUUAUUCACCCUCUAAUUCUAUUCCCACAAUUUUUGGUGAUUUUUUCAAAGUCAGACCACUGCUGCUGCCCAAAACUGUUUAGUGUAAUAUAUUGAUUACCAAUUUGACUCUAAACUUUUAAUACAUGAUAAUUUCGUCCCUAGGCUUGGAAAAUGAAAUUCUUGCAAUAUAAUUCUUGAUUCAAACCUAGUAUUUCUCAUACAUAUCAAUAACAGCCCAUAGAUUCCAUGAAAUUUUAGAAUUUCUCCAUGAUUUUAAUACUUUUCAAUUUAAUCCCUAAAACAUGUUUUCAUCUAAAAUUCUUUAAUAAAACACCUUUAAACAUCCAUUAAAAUCUAAAUUUCAUCACAAAAUAACAAAAAUCAUAUGAAAUUAUCAUUAGUAUCUUCCAAAACUUUCAACAAAAUGAGAAACUAGUAGAAUACUAAGUUGGACCUAAUUGUAAAAGUCUAAAAAUAUAAAAAUUUCAAGGACAAAGCAAGAAUUAAACUUACUUGAAGCCAAAAAUAUGGAAUACCAGCUCCAAACCCUCUUCCAUGGCUGUCUCCCACCGAAAUUUCAAGAAGAAAUGGUCUUGAAAUGCUUAAAAUAAA
Molecule: long non-coding RNA, 5957 nt
Filed under: Gossypium barbadense (sea-island cotton)
Lineage: Eukaryota; Viridiplantae; Streptophyta; Magnoliopsida; Malvales; Malvaceae
Description: long non-coding RNA (GBAR_LNC020560)
Source: RNAcentral